GACGAACGCUGGCGGCGUGCUUAACACAUGCAAGUCGAACGGAAAGGCCCUGCUUUUGUUGGGUGCUCGAGUGGCGAACGUGUGAGUAACACGUGAGUAACCUUCCCUUGACUUUGGGAUAACUUCAGGAAACUGGUGCUAAUACCGGAUAGGAGCUCCUGCUGCAUGGUGGGGGUUGGAAAGUUUCGGCGGUUGGGGAUGGACUCGCGGCGUAUCAGCUUGUUGGUGGGGUAGUGGCUUACCAAGGCUUUGACGGGUAGCCGGCCUGAGAGGGUGACCGGCAACAUUGGGACUGAGAUACGGCACAGACUAAUACGGGAGGCAGCAGUGGGGAAUAUUGCACAAUGGGAGGAAGCCUAAUGCAGCAAAGCCGCGUGCGGGAUGACGGCCUUCGGGUUGUAAACCGCUUUCGCAUGUGACGAAGCGUGAGUGACGGUAAUGGGUAAAGAAGCACCGGCUAACUACGUG
RNAcentral lists this ribosomal RNA (468 nucleotides) under uncultured bacterium. Its description in RNAcentral is "partial 16S ribosomal RNA". It matches the Rfam family "Bacterial small subunit ribosomal RNA", at positions 28 to 507 of the family's 1533-position model. The record is from RNAcentral.